Molecule: long non-coding RNA, 2074 nt
Organism: Musa acuminata AAA Group (dessert banana)
Lineage: Eukaryota; Viridiplantae; Streptophyta; Magnoliopsida; Zingiberales; Musaceae
Exons: 3
Source: RefSeq, a predicted model, not a curated record
ACCCCCGCAAUUAUCGAUCCCAUGACGCUGAACUCGGUGACUCCUUUCGCCUGGUGCCGCCUCGCCGUCGUCGCUCCUCCCCUGCUCUCAGCGCCUUCCUCACCAUCGCUGAUCAGCGUCUGCUCCGUCUCCAACGCCCUCAGGCGAAGGCGACCGGUUGGACUUUUCUCUAUAGCACAGGCAAGUUUGCUGAAAUCCAUCAUCGAUCAAACUGGGACUUGGGCCAGCCUCUUGAAGGCCCUUAUGGUCUAGAUCGAUUCUGCGAAAGCCGUCUUGUUUGAAUGGGCUGGUUCGAUUUGGAAGGAUCCAAAUUAGAUGUGCCAACGAACGAGAUGACGGAUCGUCGGGGUGUUGCUAGGAACUCGCAGCACAUCGCCUCCAAGCUGUUCGACUCUAUUCCUCUGAAGGAACAACGCCUUGAUAUUCGCGCUUGCACUAUCCUGCUUCGAUGCCUACGCUCGGGCUGGGAACAUCACAAAGCGGGUUGCACCGUACGGAAACCCGUGGCCGCUGACUCUUAGUUUGUACUGAUACAACAAUAUGCUCUUCGGAAGACCCUAUGGGCACAUGUAUGUGGAAGGUUGGCCAAUCCAAUAUUCCCCCACUAGUAUAAGAUGGCAAAAGUGGGGGUAGGGAGGAUAUAUAAAAAGAGCCCAACGAAUGAAGUGCCUUUCCUCUUUUCUUCUCGUGGCCGUCCACAAAUAAUGCGCUUGGUGACUCCACAGGUUCCAAAGGUGAUUGAAUGGGGAAGGAAAGAUGAGAUGGGAAAUGGGUGUUGUAUAUCUAAAGUUAGUUCGUGCAUUAUUUAUAUGUUAUCUGUUUGACCAUCCAAUUCACGAUGCUGCCAAGCCUACUUUUCUCGAGGCCUUCUUCUCACAUGUGAGCAGUUCCGAUCCCUUCUGAAAUUGAUGGGAUUGCUCAGCAGCAGUAGCCAACAAUACUAUUACGGCACGGUUCUACAUGGCCUGUCGACCUCAAGCUAGUCCGGAUGAGCACGGAGGCCGCAUGCAAUGGGUGAUACCACAACCUUUUCGCCUUUGGGCCACAAGACUUUUGUGCACUACGUGGACCUGACUGAUCGCAGCAUCGAGAUUGUUAGUUGUUAACUUCGCAUUUAAUCUGAGGAUUGGAACACCUCUGCUCAUUCAAGAUGAUGCAAUGGAUAACGUAUGGACAUGACCAGAGCUUCAUACUGCUAUAUAAUAUGAUUGUUCGUUUGUUUGGUAGGCAAUGGCACAAACACUCUUUCUUAAUGGGAUUACUUGGGACUGCCGUGCACCUCGGUCGGGCGAGAAAGAGAAGAAUGUAUCAGUUACAUGAUUGGCCAAGCAUCUUUUUCUCCAUUGCCCCACCAUCUUCACAUUAUUAGUGUAUACUGUUCUCCUGGCCCUUUGUUAAGUCAAAGGUGGUGGGAAGAGAUGAGUUCCGUCGUCGAGGUUCAGAAGAUGGAGGUCAGAUUCAGCUCGUACUGCAGUCAGUAGUGUACGCCACUCAUAUGGGUGGAGUGGAGUGUCCAUGCUUUCUGGUGGUUGAUAUCAUUAGGAUGUCUUCUUAGGGGGUGCACGCUCCAUAUUCUGCACCUUGUGUUGUUGGGCAUUGGAAUCACAUUACUAUUCUCUCUCUCCCUCUCUCUCUCUCUCUCGAUGUCAGACACACACACAUAAAAGACAGAGAGAGAUCGACUGCAAAGGAUUAUGCUUCUUAUCGAUCAAUGCCUAGUACCAUUCAGGAAGAGGCAAUGGUUCCUAUAUCUUAAGAGACAACCCCUGAAAGAUCACAUGUUCCCAUAGCCUCCUUUUUUCUUUCUCCUCAUGCUUUUCCUCAGUUUCCAAAUAUAUGUGUUGAUUAAUUGUUUCGUUACUGAGCUUCUCUGUCCUCUUCUUGUUAAAUUUAUAGGUAAAAUUUGAAGCAGAAUUCCAUGUUCCAAGUAUUUUACUUGUCAAAUUUCAAGAGUCUUUAAGUUCUAAAUUCCCUGCGCCAUCAGUCAGUUCCAUGGUGAGCAUGAAAAGAAUAUUUCACUCUACAUAGCAUGUCAUUGUUUUAGAUGGUUCUUUUUAUUAGAAUCUGUGAGCUA